GGUUAAGCGACUAAGCGUACACGGUGGAUGCCCUGGCAGUCAGAGGCGAUGAAGGGCGUGCUAAUCUGCGAUAAGCGCCGGUAAGGUGAUAUGAACCGUUAUAACCGGCGAUACCCGAAUGGGGAAACCCAGUGUGAUUCGUCACACUAUCAUUAACUGAAUCCAUAGGUUAAUGAGGCGAACCGGGGGAACUGAAACAUCUAAGUACCCCGAGGAAAAGAAAUCAACCGAGAUUCCCCCAGUAGCGGCGAGCGAACGGGGAGGAGCCCAGAGCCUGAAUCAGCAUGUGUGUUAGUGGAAGCGUCUGGAAAGUCGCGCGAUACAGGGUGACAGCCCCGUACACAAAAGCGCAUGUGUUGUGAGCUCGAUGAGUAGGGCGGGACACGUGGUAUCCUGUCUGAAUAUGGGGGGACCAUCCUCCAAGGCUAAAUACUCCUGACUGACCGAUAGUGAACCAGUACCGUGAGGGAAAGGCGAAAAGAACCCCGGCGAGGGGAGUGAAAAAGAACCUGAAACCGUGUACGUACAAGCAGUGGGAGCACAGGUUUACCUGUGUGACUGCGUACCUUUUGUAUAAUGGGUCAGCGACUUAUAUUCUGUAGCAAGGUUAACCGUAUAGGGGAGCCGGAGGGAAACCGAGUCUUAACCGGGCGUUAAGUUGCAGGGUAUAGACCCGAAACCCGGUGAUCUAGCCAUGGGCAGGUUGAAGGUUGGGUAACACUAACUGGAGGACCGAACCGACUAAUGUUGAAAAAUUAGCGGAUGACCUGUGGCUGGGGGUGAAAGGCCAAUCAAACCGGGAGAUAGCUGGUUCUCCCCGAAAGCUAUUUAGGUAGCGCCUCGUGAAUUCAUCUCCGGGGGUAGAGCACUGUUUCGGCUAGGGGGCCAUCCCGGCUUACCAACCCGAUGCAAACUGCGAAUACCGGAGAAUGCUAUCACGGGAGACACACGGCGGGUGCUAACGUCCGUCGUGAAGAGGGAAACAACCCAGACCGCCAGCUAAGGUCCCAAAGUCAUGGUUAAGUGGGAAACGAUGUGGGAAGGCCCAGACAGCCAGGAUGUUGGCUUAGAAGCAGCCAUCAUUUAAAGAAAGCGUAAUAGCUCACUGGUCGAGUCGGCCUGCGCGGAAGAUGUAACGGGGCUAAACCAUGCACCGAAGCUGCGGCAGCGACACUGUGUGUUGUUGGGUAGGGGAGCGUUCUGUAAGCCUGUGAAGGUGUGUCGUGAGGCAUGCUGGAGGUAUCAGAAGUGCGAAUGCUGACAUAAGUAACGAUAAAGCGGGUGAAAAGCCCGCUCGCCGGAAGACCAAGGGUUCCUGUCCAACGUUAAUCGGGGCAGGGUGAGUCGACCCCUAAGGCGAGGCCGAAAGGCGUAGUCGAUGGGAAACGGGUUAAUAUUCCCGUACUUGGUGUUACUGCGAAGGGGGGACGGAGAAGGCUAUGUUGGCCGGGCGACGGUUGUCCCGGUUUAAGCGUGUAGGUGUGUGUUCCAGGUAAAUCCGGUUCACUUUAACACUGAGGCGUGACGACGAGGCACUACGGUGCUGAAGCAACAAAUGCCCUGCUUCCAGGAAAAGCCUCUAAGCAUCAGGUAACAUCAAAUCGUACCCCAAACCGACACAGGUGGUCAGGUAGAGAAUACCAAGGCGCUUGAGAGAACUCGGGUGAAGGAACUAGGCAAAAUGGUGCCGUAACUUCGGGAGAAGGCACGCUGACACGUAGGUGAAGUGAUUUACUCAUGGAGCUGAAGUCAGUCGAAGAUACCAGCUGGCUGCAACUGUUUAUUAAAAACACAGCACUGUGCAAACACGAAAGUGGACGUAUACGGUGUGACGCCUGCCCGGUGCCGGAAGGUUAAUUGAUGGGGUCAGCGCAAGCGAAGCUCCUGAUCGAAGCCCCGGUAAACGGCGGCCGUAACUAUAACGGUCCUAAGGUAGCGAAAUUCCUUGUCGGGUAAGUUCCGACCUGCACGAAUGGCGUAAUGAUGGCCAGGCUGUCUCCACCCGAGACUCAGUGAAAUUGAACUCGCUGUGAAGAUGCAGUGUACCCGCGGCAAGACGGAAAGACCCCGUGAACCUUUACUAUAGCUUGACACUGAACAUUGAGCCUUGAUGUGUAGGAUAGGUGGGAGGCUUUGAAGCGUGGACGCCAGUCUGCGUGGAGCCGACCUUGAAAUACCACCCUUUAAUGUUUGAUGUUCUAACGUGGACCCGUGAUCCGGGUUGCGGACAGUGUCUGGUGGGUAGUUUGACUGGGGCGGUCUCCUCCUAAAGAGUAACGGAGGAGCACGAA
RNAcentral lists this ribosomal RNA (2291 nucleotides) under Salmonella enterica subsp. enterica serovar Stanley. RNAcentral describes it as "partial 23S ribosomal RNA". It matches the Rfam family "Bacterial large subunit ribosomal RNA", at positions 1 to 2314 of the family's 2925-position model. The record is from RNAcentral. Lineage: Bacteria; Pseudomonadati; Pseudomonadota; Gammaproteobacteria; Enterobacterales; Enterobacteriaceae.